Molecule: non-coding RNA, 31 nt
Filed under: Mus musculus (house mouse)
Lineage: Eukaryota; Metazoa; Chordata; Mammalia; Rodentia; Muridae
Source: RNAcentral
UGAUGCGGCACCCUUCUUGUAAGUGACUCCU